CCUACGGGGUGCAGCAGUGGGGAAUAUUGCACAAUGGGGGAAACCCUGAUGCAGCGACGCCGCGUGAGCGAGGAAGUAUUUCGGUAUGUAAAGCUCUAUCAGCAGGGACGAAAAAAGACGGUACCUGACUAAGAAGCCCCGGCUAACUACGUGCCAGCAGCCGCGGUAAUACGUAGGGGGCAAGCGUUAUCCGGAUUUACUGGGGGGACAGGGAGCGUAGAAGGCAAGGCAAGCCAGAAGUGAAAGGGCAGGGCUCAACCCUGUACAUGCUUGUGGGAAUGUGGUGCUAGAGUGAAGGAGAGGUAAGUGGAAUUCGUGGUGUAGCGGUGAAAUGCGUAGAUAUUAGGAGGAACACCAGUGGCGAAGGCGGCUUACUGGACUGUAACUGACGUUGAGGCUCGAAAGCGUGGGGAGCAAACAGGAUUAGAUACCCCGGUAGUC
RNAcentral lists this ribosomal RNA (441 nucleotides) under uncultured bacterium. RNAcentral's name for it is "partial 16S ribosomal RNA". It matches the Rfam family "Bacterial small subunit ribosomal RNA", at positions 338 to 795 of the family's 1533-position model. The record is from RNAcentral.